This 12263-nucleotide long non-coding RNA is filed under the name Nicotiana tabacum (common tobacco). Its description in RNAcentral is "long non-coding RNA (NTAB_LNC012745)". The record is from RNAcentral. Lineage: Eukaryota; Viridiplantae; Streptophyta; Magnoliopsida; Solanales; Solanaceae.
GCACAUAGAGAGUCGGAGAAAGAGCAAUAGAAAACCAUUCGACUACAAUAGAGAAUUGAUAGAGCUAGGAGGCAUUGAUAUGAACCAAACAUGAAAGGGCUGAAAGCAGAGACGAUGUAAGUGCGUAAAUCACAAAUAACGAUUUAUACAUCAUAUCCAUUGCAAUUUACCAAAUAAUCUCUCUUUAUUCACCUUCCUAACACUCUAGAUAUCCGUCAAAUUUAUACUUACCCAUAAAUAAAAUCAGUUGAAAAACCAAACUACAAAAUCCUCCAUUUCGGUUCAACAGAGCAUGUGAUAUUGAAUUCAAGAAGUAACUUAACAUGUACACACCAAUUCAUUUCAACCACAACAAAGCAAUUAAUAGUGAAACGGUCAUCCAUUUAAACCAAACUCACUGAAAACAAGCAUUAUGAGAUAGAGAAUUCGCCAAACCAUAUCAUGUUCUAGAGUUAAUAAUAAAAUCAAACAUUAAACAAACCAAACCAUAUUCUUAUUGCAUGAUCAAAUAGAAGAAAUGAAGCUUGAACCAACUGACCGGAUCAGGACCAACGACGGCAACCUCGAAACGUCAAUAAUUGGCUCCAAACAGAUCCCACAAUGAGUUCCAAAAUGGACUCAAACUAACGAAAACUUCAACAGCAGAAAAUGUGGCUCACGACCACCCAGAUAUUGAACUACAGAAAAGGAGGAAGCGAGGGAUCAAGAGAAGGAACGUCGAUUUCGACCGAAACCUAAUAGUCCGUGAAGUAUGAAAGCUGUGAAAUUGCAAGGCUUUUUCAGCGAGCUUGCCGGACAGGAAAUGGAAAAAUGGUUGAUUCUCUGCUUCAAUGGUUAGGACCUGCCGCUGCUCAAGAUUAACGAAGAUGGGGGAGGGCGUUCUUGGUCUUGUCUGCUGUUAGCUCUAGCUAAGGGUCCUUUUUUGUUUCUUGCUUCUUCAAGAAGAUCGAUAGGGGGGGGGGGGUGUUGUUGUUGUUCAACGUCUGAAGAAAAUCCUGAACGGGAGGGGGGGAGUCUUGGUUUGAUCGAAGCGGCCAGUCUCUUCGGUCUAGGGGCCUAAGGUGUAUAGGUCUAGGUUUUUUAAGAAGAAUAAGGAUCCGAGUCUUGGGUGUGGGGUCGGGUCAACCCGAUCUGGGCUGGGUUGGGUGAAAAUUUGGGCUUUUAAAAUGUUUGGCCCAAUUGAAUUUAAAACCAGCCUUUUCCAUUUUCUUUUUUUUUGUUUUCUUUUCUUUCUUUAAUUAAUUAAAAACCUAAAUUAAAUUCCUAAAUUAAUUCAAAUUAUAAAAUUAAGCUAAUUAUCUAACCAUAAUAUUUAUAAAAAUUAGGUGAUCCUAAAUUAAAAGAAAAAACUUAAUAAUCCAAAAUUAAAAGCUAAGAAUGUAAAAAUGAGCCAUUUUUGUGAUUUUUAUUUUUAAUAAAAUAAUUAAUUAAUUAAUUAAUCCUAACAUGUGAACACAAAAUCUGAAUGCAAUACAUGGUAUUAUUGGUAUUUUCAUGAUUUUAAUAAAAAUAAACAUGCACAGAAAUGCAAACAAUUAACACAAAUUUCUACAAAAAUCCUAUAAAAUUGAAAAUAAUUGGGAAAAAUUUAUUUCUUUAAUUUGUGGGAGUAUUUCACAUAGGGCAAAAAUUAUGUGCUCACAACUGCCCCUCUUUGUUUGGAAACACGAAGAUUUUUCGGGCAAAGAUAAAGUGAGCGGAUACGAGUGAUUUUUGCCCGUUUGAAUACUCUGUGGGAGGCAUUUUUGAAAGAUCUGACUGAACCCUGCUUCCGAGGUUGCCUGCAUAUCCUUGGCUAUAAAAGAAUCAUGUCAGUGUAGUUCGGGAAAAUGAGGAUGAGAUGAGUUAGAGAGUCGAGUGAGGUACCGUUCCGUCGAGGUUCCGGUCUGCGGUCCUAUUAUUACAUCAAAAAUCAAGAUUCAAAAGACUAACUAAGCCUAUCAGCUACGAGUUACAAGAUUCCUAUCUAUGAGUCUUCUGAAGCUUGAUCUUGAGUCUUGGUUGGUUCUUCAUGCAGACUUUAGAUUUGAACCUUGAGGCUUGCUAGCUGCAGGUGCUAGUUCAUUCUUCUUCGGAUCAAGACCGGACACACUGUGCUUGUGAUUUCAGUCAUGUAUUGAGCAAUCCACCUCUUGUCUCAGCUUCUGCAUUUUGGAUUCACUUCUCUUUUCUUUUUUUUCUUUUUUUUUAAUCAUGGAUUGAGAUUACUUCUGUUGAUCAUCUCAGAUUGUUGACUUGCAUUCUUGCCGCGAGCUUCUGCUACUUCUAAAUCGAAUGGAAUUCUGAAAUGACUUCCCUUGUUCUCCAGGUGGGGCACCUGCUACUGACUUGAAACUUUAAAUAAUUCCAAAACGAAUUCCCUUGUUCUCCAGGUGGGUGCCUGCAAUCAAAACAAACAAAAUUUUCUACCCCAGUUUGCACUCGGAAGAUUUGUGAGUUGUUAACAAAACUGUAAACCACUUAUGCUUUGAUGCAAUGAUGAAAGUAAACUAGAGACUCGACUAGGAUGUGCAUCUUCUAUGAGUAAAACCAAGAAACUUUGACCAGCAAAUGCGUCUGCUAAAAAUAAAAACCGAAUGACCCAGAUCAGAAAAUGCGUCUCCUACGGGUGAUACUUGAAUGAAUCAAACUAGGAAGUGCGUUUCCUAGGGGAGGAAUCUCAAUUUAGGAAGUGUGUCUACUAAAACAAAAUAUAACUUGAAAGAUCCUGACUAUGAAGUGCGUCUCCUAAUGGGUAGAACUUAAAUAACUCAAACUAGGAAGUGCGUCUCCUAAGAAUGAACUUAAAUGAACCAAAAGGGAAGUGUGUCUCCUAAAACAAACAUAUAACCUGAAAACCCAGACUAGGAACUGCGUCUCCUAUAGGUGAAACUUCAAUGACUCAAACUAGGAAGUGCGUCUCCUACGAAUGAACUCUUAAUUUAGGAAGUGUGUCUCAUAUGGGUGAAACUUCAAUGACUCAAACUAGGAAGUGAUCCUAUGAAUGAACUCUCAAUUUAGGAAGUGUGUCUCCUACAGAUGUAUCCUGAAAGACCUAGACUAGGAAGUGCUUCUCCUAGGGGUGAAACUUCAAUGACUCAAACUAGGAAGUGCGUCUCCUACGAAUGAACUCUCAAUUUAGGAAGUGCAUCUCCUAUGGGUGAAACUUCAAUGACUCAAACUAGGAAGUGCGUCUCCNANNNNNNNNNNNNNNNNNNNNNNNUUAAUGACUCAAAUCAGGAAGUGUGUCUCCUAUGAAUGAACUCUCAAUUUAGGAAGUGUGUCUCCUAAAAGUAUAAUCUGAAAGACCCCUACUAGGAAGUGUGUCUCCUAAUGUUUAAAACUUCAAUGACUCCAACUAGGACGUGUGUCUCCUAAGGAUGAAUUUAAAUGCCCAAAACUAGGAAGUGCGUCUCAUAGGGGUGGAAUAUCAAUUUAGGAAGUGCGUCUCCUAAAACAAAAGUAUAAUUUUAAAGACCCAAACUAGGAAGUGCGUCUCCUAAUGGUAAAAUCUCAAUGGAGGAAAUGUGUCUCCUAUAAUAAAAUAUAACUUGAAAACCCAGAGUAAGAAGUGCUUCUCCUAGUGGUGAUGUGUGAUAUUCUCAAUAGUCUUUGCGUAAGCAGAAUUGGGGUAUUACACCUGAAUAUUUCAAGCUUCCAAGCUUUGAUAUGAACAUAACUUUCGUCCCUGUUUCAAACAAAAAAAACUUGUGAGUUUAAACAUGGUGGUUGGUUUGUGGCCUUGACUUUGAGGACGAUUGCUCCUUCACUUGCCAUGAUAACUUUGAUUUCACCAUGAAAGACAUUGCUUGCUUAUUGACUAACCACUUUCUCUGUCACCCUUAUCACAGAAAAUACCUCAGAUUCAUUCAAACUCAAUACCAUCUACCUGUUGUAUUUUGCUCAUGAAUUGAUAUUUACCGAACCUUUGUAUUUCACAUGAAUCCCAAAGCACGUUGAUUGUUACCAACUCAGUGCGCAUACUGUUCUUUCAUAACUUAUGUUGCUUUGAUGUGCUAGCCAGACUCUGCUUUGUGAAAUUGGAAAGCUAGUGGCAAAUUUUAAAUUCAUUUCUCACUUGUUCUGACCAACAGACUCAAGAAGAGGAAGUAAACAAAACAAAAAGAACAGAGUACGGGACAAUNNNNNNNNNNNNNNNNNNNNNNNNNNNNNNNNNNNNNNNNNNNNNNNNNNNNNNNNNNNNNNNNNNNNNNNNNNNNNNNNNNNNNNNNNNNNNNNNNNNNNNNNNNNNNNNNNNNNNNNNNNNNNNNNNNNNNNNNNNNNNNNNNNNNNNNNNNNNNNNNNNNNNNNNNNNNNNNNNNNNNNNNNNNNNNNNNNNNNNNNNNNNNNNNNNNNNNNNNNNNNNNNNNNNNNNNNNNNNNNNNNNNNNNNNNNNNNNNNNNNNNNNNNNNNNNNNNNNNNNNNNNNNNNNNNNNNNNNNNNNNNNNNNNNNNNNNNNNNNNNNNNNNNNNNNNCAAGUCUAAAGUUCAACUCUUGUUGUACCUUUGAGUCGUGAAACUGGCCUUCAAUGCUCUAUCCCAUCUGAUUCACGAUCCUUAUUCGACUUGUAGUGCCCGAAGGGUUUUCACCAUCAAGCCUCUUUCAUUUUGUUCUUUCUCUCAACUUACCGUUGCCUUAUGGUGCCUGUGAAGGUUUUCACUGAUAAGACUCUCUCAUUUUCUGUUUUCCUUGUGUAGAACAAAGUGUUGCCCCUGAUGAGAAUCAUACCUCUAACUCGCUUGACUUGGCACUACUCAAAGAUUGAUCAGAAGGUCUUUCUUUGGAUCGUAAUGUAGGUUUUUGGAUAGGAUUAAAAACAAAGGGUAUCAUAAAGGCUCAAAAAUAUCUUAAAAGGGCUCAAAAUUACAACUUUUGGAAUCAGAUCUCUUACAACAACCACAACUUCUGCCCCAGUUUCUUUGCUUGGGACUUUUGAAAUUUUAUUUUGAUGGGACCGAACCAUGAGGCUGCUUCCGUAUUUUUAAAAGGAAUCAGGUCGAACGUAGUUCAUGACAUAGGAAUUGCUUUGUUUUUGUACUUUUCUCUCUUUUUUCUUUUUCUUUUUUUUCUUUUCUUUUCUUUACUCUUUUCCCAUUUUUUCUUUAUCUUUUUCUCUUCUCUUUUCCUCUUUUCUCUUUUUUUAUUCUGUAUUUAUAUUUCUAAACUCUGCUUCUGAUUCCAAAAGAGGAAUAUGAAAGAAAAUAAAUAAGGCUCAAAGGGGGCAACAAAGGAUAAAGUGUUUAGAUAGAAAAAUAAAAUGUCUUCGUCAUUCCAAUCUUCAAAGCAUGCCAGAUACAAACAACACAAUUAAACAAACCAAAGAAAUCAUACAUAAUAUUUUUUGACUGCAUAAGAAUUGAUAACCAUAUCCAUACAUUUGCCUUUUACAUCUGUUAAAUACAAAGCACCAUUGGACAACGCUCUCAUUACCACGAACUGCCCCUGCCAAUUUGGGGCAAACUUGCCUUUAGCUUCAACUUGAUGCGGCAUGAUGCAUUUCAGUAGUGUUUCUUUAUGUUCUAUCUGUCCCAGUUUCACACAAUUCGGGCUUGAGGUGAUCUCAAAAUGCCUUUACUUAUUUCCCUCAAAAGUCCUUAUCAUCUUCAAAAAAAUUUCAUUGCUUCAUCACUAAACUAACUUUUAAGACCAGGCUGAGAAUUACGCGUGCAUGUCAUGUCACUAGAGUCAGCAGGAAAAGGACUAUAAAAGGGAAAGAGAACUACACAAACACUGACUAGAAAUAAUAGAAAACAGGAAAUUGCAUUAGACAGAUGGUGAAAGGGUUUGAACAACAAAACAAGUAAAAUAAGCUGGGGUUACAACCCUGGAAAAAAAACUAGACAACACUAAACGAGCUACUACGACUAAACAAACUAGGCAAAAUAAAAAGAUAGAAAGGUUGGAGUCACAAGACAAUAUCCGGAUUACAACCCUGAAAAUAACCCAGACAACAAAAAUGACAACAAAAUAAACCACCAAAACUCCUCCCCGUCUAACCAAAAAAUGGAGCGUCUUUCCAAUUACCAAGCACGACAUCUUAGCCACUGGGUUCCACAUCAAUAUUGCCAAGACCAUUACCAACUUCAAUAUCAUUAACUUUAGUCAGCAAGUUCCCAAGAGGAUUCGCAUGCUCCCUGUCACUGUCCUUGAUCACAAUUACCCCUUCUUGAAUCAUUCUUUCUAUUUCCCUUUUCAAAGCACGGCAAUCUUCAAUGCUAUUCCCUUGGACAUUAGAGUGGUACAUGAAUCGUACAGUAGGAUCAAAACCUUUUGCAUAUGGGUCUAGAGUAUAGCCGAGGAGUGGUUCAAUCAGGCCAUAAUGCUUUAACUUUUCAACAAGCUUGUGUAGGACUCCCCGAUUGGCGUGAAACUAUUUCUCUGCCAUUGUUCCCCUCCAUGCCCCUGUUUUCUAGGGUUUUUGGGUGCUCGAAAAUGUUGUGAAGGCAAGAGUGCCUUAUGCGGUGCUGGCGCUCGCCAUAAGGGGUGACUCGGUUGUUGGACAGAUGACCGAACAUUGUUCGGAGGAUAAUAUUGAGGUGGAUUAUAUGGAGCUCGGGGAUAGGUUUGGGAUUGGGGUUGAGGAUGAGUAUAUUGGUGACGCGGACCCGUUGGACCAUGUUCUGAUCCUGAGACAACCAUGGCAACAUCAUCAUGUUCUUUCUGACCCAUCAAACUCCCUGUGUCGUUCUGAAUUGCUUGUGUUGUGGCUUUUAAAGCAGAAUAGCUCAUGAUCUUGCUCGACUUCAUCCCAUCUUCUACCAUUUCCCCCAUUUUUACCACAUCAUUAAAAGGCCUACCCACAACCAAGAUCAAAUGCCCAAAGUAAGUUGGCUCUUGAGCUUGAAGAAAGUACUCGACCAUCUCGUUUUCUUUCAUCGGGGGAUUGAAUCUAGUAGCUUUAUAUCUCCAUCUGAGCUCAUAUUCCCUAAAGCUUUCAUUAGGCUUCUUUUCCAUAUUGGUGAGGGAUAUGCGAUCCAGGACAAUUUUAUAUUGUAUUGAAAGUGCCUGGCAAAGGCUUGAGCCAUAUCGUCCCAUAUGUACCACCUGCUAGCAUCUUGGCGGGUGUACCACUCCAGAGCUGCCCCACUCAGACUCUGACUAAAAUACGCCAUCAAUAAUUUGUCCUUCCCAUCGACGCCUCUCAUUUUACUACAGUAGCCUCUCAGAUGGGCCACAGUAUUUCCAUGUCUGUCAUAUAAAUGAAACUUCGGCAUCUUAAACCCAGCAGGCAGUUGGAUGUCAAGAAACAAGCACAAGUCUUUGUAGGCCACGCUCAUCUGGUUCCCUAUCCCUUGCAUGUUUCUUAAAGAUUGCUCUAAGAUUUUCACCUUCCUGGAUAUCUCAUCUUGCUCCACUAUCUUAGCAGGCUUUUCAAUUUCACCGGGAGGCUCAAAAUGAGGAGCGUGAGAGUAUGGAUCUAAGAUUUUGAAAGUUGGUUAUGGAGCGUAGUAUUGGGCAUCAGGGACUUUGAACACAGUCUUGUUAGAGGAUCGAGGAAAAGUAGCUAGAUGAGGAGAUACAGGAGCAUGAGUGGCCAAAGGAGCGGGAUAUGAGGUGGUUUUGGCGGGUAGAGUGUGAAAAGGUUGUGGGGAGAUAUCAGCAGCGGUGAGAAUUUGGAUUUGUGAUAGUGGUAGGAUAAUUGUAGGUUUUUCAGUGUAGUUAGCAAGGAAUGAAGGUGGAGGAUGCCUCCUGAUCCAAGACUGAUACAUUUCUGACAUCUGCUGUUUCAACAUUUAGACCUCUCCUUUCAAUUCAGACUCCGACUCCACAAACUCCCUUGACGGGUCAACAACUCAUGUGUCUAAGUCUUUCCUAGUCAUGACUACCUUGCUCUUUGACCUUGUGUUGUAUGGAUGGGUUAACAGUUUAAGAACCACAAACCAACCACUCUUCUGCUAUAAUGAGGAUAACAAAGAGGAACAAAAUAAAGUCAUCAUGUUAGCGCUAGGGCAUUUAACAACUAAAAAUAUCACAUUACGUGCAAUGAACCUAGCAACAAUUAACGGUUCAAGAAUGACUUUAAGGGUCACAAGGUCACUUGGCAUCAUCCCAAUUUGUCCAUUUGAAUCUUCUCUUUUCUUUUCUUUUCUAACACUUCUUGGCUUGCUCAUUUUCCUUCCUCUUUUUUUUUUCUAAUCAUCACUCUUUUCUUUCCUCUCAUUUCUCACAUCCCAUAAUUUCACAUUUUCUUUUUGUUUAUUUCCUUUUUUUCUUUUUCUUUUAAUUUUAAUAAAAUCAAAAAAAUGAUUCGAUUGAACCCUAUGUAGGUUGCCUACGUAUCAUGACGCCGCGUGAAUCAGAUCUUUGCAUAGUUCGGGAAGAUCGGGAAUAAAGUAAACAAACUAACGUUCUCUUUUUUUUUUAUCUUAAUGACUACUCUGAUGAGAAAAAAGAAGAAAAUCUCGCUCUUUUUUUAGACUUAAUAUUCUAUAAUCUAUUCUAAACUCAAUAUUAAACAAGCAUAUAUUUCUUUUUGUUUUUUUUGAAACAGAUACUCUAUGAGAAAUUAUUAAGGAAAAAACCCAACAAGAGAAAAGUAUUUUUUUCUUUUUGUUUUAGGAAGGAAAUCUAAAAAAUAAACCAAAGAAAUAUAUUUUGAUUUUCAUUUGAUAUCUCUGAAGAAAGAUUUCGUAAAGAGAAAUGAACAAGAUAAAAAACAUUUGGAUUUCAGUUUUGAUUACCUAAGGAAAAAACUUUAAAGAUAAACAAAAGAUAAGAUAUGUUAUUUUCUUCUAUGUACAAUGUCCUAAAGUUCUAGUAAAAAUAAAAGAAUUUUUUUCUAUUCAUUUUUCAUUAAUUUCGCAAAGAAGAACCUCAAAAGAAAAUCUUUUUGAAUUUUUGGAAUUAAUACCUUAAAGAAAACUUUUUAAAGAGGUACUAAAAGAAAUUUUUUUUUUUUUUGAAUUUUUAGUCUAAUGUACUAAAAGGAAGUAUAAAAGUAAUUUUUUAUUUUGAGUUCUAGAUAUUAAUUCAAUAAAGGAAAACCAUCUCAAAUUAAUUUUUUUUAUUCCUAGAAUUAGUAUUCUAAAAAGAACUUCUAACAGAAAUAUAAAAACACAAAAUUUCUUUCUUCUUUUUUGGAUUUUUGAUUUAUAACACAUUUUUUUCCGAUACAAAAUAGGAAAUACAAUAACGAAAGACUCAACAUUACUGUACAAAACUAGAAGGUAAAAGACGACGUAAAAAGAAAAAAAGACUCAAAACAUGAAAAGAAAAAUCUCCUUAAGCAACUCCUGAAUGAGCGAUCCUGUCUGGAUGGUCCCGAGGUGUCUAUCAUGCUCAAACUUCAGUAAGUAAAUCCACACCUGUAUGAGAAAACUGAAACCAACACUAUAUGAGACAAUAAUAUUCCCUACUAGACACAUGCAAGACAUGGUUGAGGCUAUUUUUGCAAAAUGGCUUAUGUGACCAAAAAGGUGGCUAGAAGUGCAAAAUUUGGCUAAGAUCCCGCAAAGCCAAGAGCCUAAGAUUCACUAGGAAGACCGGACCCUAUGUGGAUUGCCUACGUAUCACGCCCCGAAAAACGAGAAUCAUGUAUGCGUAGUUCAGGCAGAUUGGAUACGGGCGACAAUUAAAAAACAACCAAUUUAGAGAAAAUAUGUUUUUUUUGUCUUUUUUUUUUUGAAAAAUGAGGAAAUAUGUAAACUCUUUUUGGAUUUUCUUUUCCCUUUUUUUUGAUUUUUUUGAUUUUCGGAAAAUGAUGAAAAAGUGCAAAAUCUUUUUUUUUUGAAUUUUUCAUGUUUUCUUUUCUUUUUCUUAACAAAAAUGUGAAAGAAAACAUAACUGGGCCCUACUUGCUUUAUUUUCACACUUCACCCUCUCUUUUUUCUUCUUUUUUUUCAUUUUUCCUCAAUUAUUAUUAGUCCGCCAAAUGACCCUUUUACCCUUGAAGAUUGCCACAUGUAGCACAUAGGAUGCAUCAGGAUGGUCUUUUAUUUUUGGGUACACCUGUCCUAGACGAACCCAACCCCUGUGUUGAGUCCCCAAAGUUAAAUGCACAUGAUGCAAACAAACGUGCCUACUAGGGUUCCGGCAUGUGGUUAUGUUAUUCUAAGUUUAAAUCUGGGGUUGUGUUAUUGACCUGACUUACCCGAGCGGACUACUCGAGCCAAAGAGGGGGCAACGUACCGGGAGCAUGAAAGUCUACCCGGCCUUAUUGUUGGCCCAACCUCGUUCUAUUUGGUGUAACUUCUAAUAGAAAAAGUGGGUCAGGCGAACGUGUGCACCAUAUUUAGAAGACUUAGAGGGGUGGCGUAAGAAGGCAUUUUAAUACAAUUCAAACAAUAUUGAAAUCGUAAAUAAACAUCAAUUAGCACAUUAGGUUCACAAAAAUACAGUAAUAUUAAUAAUAAAUAAAGCCAAAUAAAAUCAUAUUAAAAAGCUCGAAUUCUUGAAUCCUAAAUUAUAAGUUCUGAGUUCUUAUCCGCAGCAGAGUCGCUAGAGCUGUCACACCUCCUUCUUACUACCCCGGAAGGGAUAUAAGGGAGUUUUUUUUCCAAUUUAAGUGACAAUCGAAACGGUAUUAUUUAUUUAAAAAAUCAGAGUCUCCACUUGGGAUAAUUUAUGGUGUCCCAAGUCACCGGUUUAAAAUCCCAAAACGAGGAAGUUGACUCUUAAUCAUGGUCUGCGAACACAGAAAUUUGGGUAAAGAAUUCUAUUAACCCGGGAGAAGGUGUUAGGCAUUCCCGGGUUCCGUGGUUUUAGUACGGUCGCUUUGAUCAUACUUGGCUUAAUAAAAUUGUCUAAUUACUCAUUUUAGAACAUAUGUGCAUUUACCUUUUUUAAUUAAGACAUUAUCUUAAAACAGGUCACGCGCACGUGUACCCAUUUAUUUGGCACGUCAAAAAUCAUGUCACGCGAACAUGUCCACAAUUAAUAACGCUUUGUUAUUGUUAAGAAAGUUUAGUCGAAGUUGCGCGAACGCAUACUCCGGUUUUAUUUUUAGGAUCGUAAUUAUGUCACGCGAACGCGUACACAAUCACGAUGAUAGAUUAAGUCACGCUUAAAGCAAGCUGCGAGGUUCAUGAAUUAUUUUACUAACUACUUCGAGAUUACGCGUGAAAGGUCUAUGAUUAUGGAGCACAUUCGCUAAAAGAUAUUUCAUGCUCGUAUUCUUUUUACCUUUCAUUUCUUGCAUUCAACCCAGCCCAAUUCCUAAUUAUGUGAGCAAUUUUAAUCAUCAAUGGGCUAGGCAUUUCAAAAUUCAGAAAUUUAGCACGUGCUCUGUCCUUUGUCACACAAACACACGAGUGAAGAGAAUGAUAACAGAAUCACUCGCACAUAGAGAUUCGGAGAAAGAGCAAUAGAAAACCAAUUGACCACAAUAGAGAAUUGACAGAGCUAGGAGGCACUGAUAUGAACCAAACAUGAAAGGACUGAAAGCAGAGACGAUGUAAGUGCGUAAAUCACAAAUAAUGAUUUAUACAUCAUAUCCAUUGCAAUUUACCAAAUAAUCUCUCUUUAUUCACUUUCCUAACACUCUAGGUAUCAGUCAAAUUUAUACUUACCCAUUAAUAAAAUCAGUUGAAAAACCAAACUGCAAAAUCCUCCAUUUCGGUUCAACAAAGCAUGUGAUAUUGAAUUCAAGAAUUAACUUAACAUGUACACUCCAAUUCAUUUCAAUCAAAACAAAACAAUUAAUAGUAAAACAGUGAUUCACUUAAACCAAACUCACUGAAAACAAGCAUUAUAAGAUAGAGAAUCCUUCAAACCAGAUCAUGUUCUAGAUUUAAUAAUAAAAUCAAACAUUAAACAAACCAAACCAUAUUCUUAUUGCAUGAUCAAAUAGAAGAAAUGAAGCUUGAACCAACUGACCGGAUCAGGACCAACGAUGGCAACCUCGAAACGUCAAUAACUGGCUCCAAACAAAUCCCACAACGAGUUCCAAAAUGGACUCAAACUAACGAAAACUUCAACAACAGAAAAUGAGGCUCACGACCACCCAGAGAUUGAACUGCAAAAAGGGAGGAAACGAGGGAUCGAGAGAAGGAACGCUGAUUUUGACUGGAACUUAAGAGGCCAUGAAGUAUGAAAACUCUGAAAUUGCAAGGCUUUUCCGGCAGACAGGAAAUAGGGAAAAUUGUUGGUUCUCUGCUUCAACGGUUAGGACUUGCCGCUGCUUAAGAUUAACGAAGAUGGGGGAGGGCGUUCUUGGUCUUGUCCGCUGAUAGUUCUAGCUAGGGGUCCUUUUUUGGUUCUUGCUGCUUCAAGAAGAUCGAUAGGGGGGGGGGGUCUUGGUUUGAUCGAAGCGGCCGAUCUCUUCGGUCUAGGGGCAUAAGGUGUAU